GCCAUCGCCACUUUUGAUUUUUAUGAGUUUCCAAAUGCAAAGAAUGGAUCACAAACUUCAGCUCAAAUUUGGUUACAGAAUGACCAAAACAGUGAAGUUGAUCUCAUUAUAUCUGGAUGGGAGACGGAUGGAACCAAAUCAACUGGCUGCUCUAACUUGGAUUGUACUGGCUUUGUACCAGUAAAUGGGGCUCCUAUUACUCCUGGCAAUACUCUAGAUCACAACACUGGACAAACCAAAAACACAUUGAAGAUAUUUUAUAGUCUUGAUGAUGGUGAUUGGUGGCUACACUUUGGGAAUGACAUAGGCAGUCUUAGCGCAGUCGGGUAUUGGCCAAAUAGUCUUUUCAAAAGCUUAGACCAUGUCACGGUUGUAGCAUGGGGUGGAUAUACCUAGGGGCGGAUGU
RNAcentral lists this long non-coding RNA (406 nucleotides) under Oryza sativa Indica Group (long-grained rice). Its description in RNAcentral is "lncRNA OsKYG_11g0008790". Lineage: Eukaryota; Viridiplantae; Streptophyta; Magnoliopsida; Poales; Poaceae. The record is from RNAcentral.